GUGCUUACUUUGGCAGCACAUGUACUAAAAUUGGGAUGACACAAAGAUUAGCAUAGCCCCUGUGCAAGGAUGACACGUAAAUUCUUGAGGCAUUCCAUGUUUAA
Small nuclear RNA from Nycticebus coucang (slow loris), 104 nucleotides. NCBI's taxonomy places the organism in Eukaryota, Metazoa, Chordata, Mammalia, Primates, Lorisidae. The record is from RefSeq and is a predicted model, not a curated record.